GUAGGUGAACCUGCGGAAGGAUCAUUAAUAAUCGGCGAAGCUUUCGAGCCUAGCUUUAAAAUAUGAUAUACACCUGUGAACUAUUUGCCUUCGGGCACCAAACCAAACAUAAUGUCAAUGAAUGUAAACAUAUUAUAACAAAUAUAACUUUCAACAACGGAUCUCUUGGCUCUC
RNAcentral lists this unclassified non-coding RNA (174 nucleotides) under rhizosphere metagenome. RNAcentral's name for it is "partial ribosomal RNA internal transcribed spacer region". The record is from RNAcentral.